RNAcentral lists this ribosomal RNA (497 nucleotides) under uncultured bacterium. RNAcentral describes it as "partial 16S ribosomal RNA". It matches the Rfam family "Bacterial small subunit ribosomal RNA", at positions 28 to 507 of the family's 1533-position model. The record is from RNAcentral.
GAUGAACGCUGGCGGCGUGCCUAAUACAUGCAAGUCGAGCGAACAGACGAGGAGCUUGCUCCUCUGACGUUAGCGGCGGACGGGUGAGUAACACGUGGAUAACCUACCUAUAAGACUGGGAUAACUUCGGGAAACCGGAGCUAAUACCGGAUAAUAUAUUGAACCGCAUGGUUCAAUAGUGAAAGACGGUUUUGCUGUCACUUAUAGAUGGAUCCGCGCCGCAUUAGCUAGUUGGUAAGGUAACGGCUUACCAAGGCAACGAUGCGUAGCCGACCUGAGAGGGUGAUCGGCCACACUGGAACUGAGACACGGUCCAGACUCCUACGGGAGGCAGCAGUAGGGAAUCUUCCGCAAUGGGCGAAAGCCUGACGGAGCAACGCCGCGUGAGUGAUGAAGGUCUUCGGAUCGUAAAACUCUGUUAUUAGGGAAGAACAAAUGUGUUAGUAACUAUGCACGUCUUGACGGUACCUAAUCAGAAAGCCACGGCUAACUACGUG